ACCCCCAAAUUCCCCAAAAACCCCCAAAUUCCCCAAAACCCUCCUUUUUUCCCCCAAAAUCACAGGGCUACCGCAAUUUCUACGACCGCUACCGGGGGGAUUACGACAGGUUCUAUGGCCGCGACUACGAGUACAACAGAUACCGGGAUUACUACCGGCAGUACAACCGCGAGUGGCAAAACUAUUACCAGGACAGAGAUCGAUACUACAGGAAUUACUACGGCUAUCAGGGCUAUCGGUGAAGUCCCAAAAUCGGCCGAUUUUCACCCAAAAAAAAAGAAAAAAAAAAAAAAAAAAA
Molecule: non-coding RNA, 298 nt
Organism: Phasianus colchicus (ring-necked pheasant)
Lineage: Eukaryota; Metazoa; Chordata; Aves; Galliformes; Phasianidae
Source: RefSeq, a predicted model, not a curated record